AAGAAAAUUUCUUGAAAAGUUCUAUUUCUUCAAUCAUGCCUCCCACAACGGCCAGGCCAGCACCGCAGAGCUGGGCCGCCCGCCGGGACACGGCUCCGCACACCUCCUUCACCACGAUGCUGUCCUCACACGUGCUGUCCAGGCCCAGCUGCUGCAGAAUCCUCCUGACCUGGAGAAGGGCCAGCCGAUCGCUGCAGGCAAUAGAGCAGGGAGUCAGGACCUGCUUCCCAGGACCCCGGGAUGUGCCCAGUGUGACCCACAGCCUCCCCAUUCUUAGAUGCCCUUACAGGAGGGAGGAGAAAUUGACCCAGGCAAUGGCUAGGCUGGAGCAGAAUGCCUUAGAAGCCGAGACUCAAGAAGGUCCACCACCCCUGGAAGUUCCAUCAACUUUAAAAAAUAAAGUGUGAAUGCCUCUGGUGUUCAGCAUGUUCAUA
Molecule: long non-coding RNA, 434 nt
Organism: Homo sapiens (human)
Lineage: Eukaryota; Metazoa; Chordata; Mammalia; Primates; Hominidae
Source: Ensembl